RNAcentral lists this transfer RNA (610 nucleotides) under uncultured Prochlorococcus sp. RNAcentral describes it as "partial contains 16S ribosomal RNA, 16S-23S ribosomal RNA intergenic spacer, and 23S ribosomal RNA". The stretch from base 227 to 299 matches the Rfam family "tRNA". The record is from RNAcentral. Lineage: Bacteria; Bacillati; Cyanobacteriota; Cyanophyceae; Synechococcales; Prochlorococcaceae.
UGGAUCACCUCCUAACAGGGAGACAACAAAAUGUUUAAUAUUAUUAUUUUGUCACCUUAGGUCGAUCGGUAUCUCACGUUCUUAAUUUAUUAAGAAUUUCAUUUCCAAAGUUUUUCUAGGUCACACCCAUUAUUUUUCCUGGGCCAUUAGCUCAGGUGGUUAGAGCGCACCCCUGAUAAGGGUGAGGUCCCUGGUUCAAGUCCAGGAUGGCCCAUAUCUCUAUGUUGGGGGUAUAGCUCAGUUGGUAGAGCGCCUGCUUUGCAAGCAGGAUGUCAGCGGUUCGAGUCCGCUUACCUCCACUGAUUACCACCUCUUCCAUAACCGGUAGAAAGGAAAUUUUUUGAGUUGUGAUCAAAUUCUGAAAGAAUCUAGCUUCCUAAUGAAAUCAUUAAGAUGCUGGACUCAUUGAAUUAAUUUCAUUGUUUUCAGAGAACCUUGACAACUGCAUAGAUUAUUUUUAAAGACAAUAAGCAUCUUUAAUGAUGCAGAUUUAUUAUUUGUGCGAAUGCAUUAAUAACAAUUCUAUUAAGCUGAUGCUUCAAUUUUGAAGUUAUUGGUCAAGCUACAAAGGGCUCACGGAGGAUACCUAGGCACACAGAGGCGAUGAAGG